UACGUAGGGGGCAAGCGUUGUCCGGAAUCAUUGGGCGUAAAGAGCGUGUAGGCGGCCCGAUAAGUCCGCUGUGAAAGUCCAGGGCUCAACCCUGGAAUGCCGGUGGAUACUGUCGGGCUCGAAUCCGGAAGAGGUGAGUGGAAUUCCUGGUGUAGCGGUGGAAUGCGCAGAUAUCAGGAGGAACACCAACGGCGAAGGCAGCUCGCUAGGACGGUACUGACGCUGAGGCGCGAAAGCGUGGGGAGCGAACAGG
RNAcentral lists this ribosomal RNA (253 nucleotides) under uncultured bacterium. RNAcentral's name for it is "partial 16S ribosomal RNA". It matches the Rfam family "Bacterial small subunit ribosomal RNA", at positions 524 to 776 of the family's 1533-position model. The record is from RNAcentral.